This 435-nucleotide ribosomal RNA is filed under the name uncultured bacterium. RNAcentral describes it as "partial 16S ribosomal RNA". It matches the Rfam family "Bacterial small subunit ribosomal RNA", at positions 28 to 507 of the family's 1533-position model. The record is from RNAcentral.
GAUGAACGCUGGCGGUAUGCUUAACACAUGCAAGUCGAACGGACUCUUCGGAGUUAGUGGCGGACGGGUGAGUAACGCGUGAGAAUCUGGCUUUGGGUUCGGGACAACCACUGGAAACGGUGGCUAAUACCGGAUGUGCCGAGAGGUAAAAGAGAAAUUGCCUGAAGAUGAGCUCGCGUCUGAUUAGCUAGUUGGUGAGGUAAAGGCUCACCAAGGCAGCGAUCAGUAGCUGGUCUGAGAGGAUGACCAGCCACACUGGGACUGAGACACGGCCCAGACGCCUACGGGAGGCAGCAGGGGGGAAUUUUCCGCAAUGGGCGAAAGCCUGACGGAGCAAUACCGCGUGAGGGAAGAAGGCUCUUGGGUUGUAAACCUCUUUUCUUAGGGAAGAACAAAAUGACGGUACCUAAGGAAUCAGCAUCGGCUAACUCCGUG